CCUACGGGAGGCAGCAGUGGGGAAUAUUGCGCAAUGGGCGAAAGCCUGACGCAGCGACGCCGCGUGAGGGAUGAAGGUCUUCGGAUCGUAAACCUCUGUCAGCAGGGAAGAACGGUCACUGUGCUAAUCAGCAGUGAAUUGACGGUACCUGCAAAGGUAGCACCGGCUAACUCCGUGCCAGCAGCCGCGGCAAUACGGAGGGUGCGAGCGUUAAUCGGAAUUACUGGGCGUAAAGCGAUCGUAGGCGGUAUGUCAAGUCAAGGGUGAAAUCCCCGCGCUCAACGUGGGAACUGCCUUGGAAACUGGCAGACUGGAGUGUGUGAGAGGAUAGUGGAAUUCCAGGUGUAGGGGUGAAAUCCGUAGAUAGCAGGAGGAACAUCGGUGGCGAAGGCGACUAUCUGGCACAUAACUGACGCUGAGGAGCGAAAGCGUGGGUAGCAAACAGGAUUAGAUACCCUAGUAGUC
Molecule: ribosomal RNA, 465 nt
Filed under: uncultured bacterium
Lineage: Bacteria
Description: partial 16S ribosomal RNA
Rfam family: Bacterial small subunit ribosomal RNA
Source: RNAcentral